RNAcentral lists this long non-coding RNA (795 nucleotides) under Homo sapiens (human). Its description in RNAcentral is "HSALNT0293752". Lineage: Eukaryota; Metazoa; Chordata; Mammalia; Primates; Hominidae. The record is from RNAcentral.
UAUGGAUAAUCCAGCCCCAGCCCCAGCCCCAGCCCCAUUUUACAGAUGAGGAAACUGGGACUUACUGAAGUCAUGUAUUUAAUGAAGGGUUAAACUAGGAUUUGAACUGAAUCUCUUGAUCUUAAGGCUGAUGGUCUCAUUUGUUCCAUCAUGCAGCUGCCUCAGGCCUGUGCUGUAUCCCUUUAUGCCACACAAGAGAGAUAGCUCCCUCCACUUCAGUCUAUAAUACAAACGAAGAUCAGCCAUUUGUUGCAUCCGAGGUAAACUGGCCUGGAUUUGUGGUCUGAGUUCACCAUAUUUCCACAGUAUGACAUUGAAGAAGAAAGGAAUUUUACUUGUCACUUGAUAGUUAUUGUCUCAUGACACUAAGCUAUGACUUGGAGACAAAGGCCAAGUCAAGCCCCACUGUGAGAUUCAAUGAUUCCUUGGUGGAGAAAGAAGCAUUUGAUGUGGAGCCUGACACACCUGAAGGGAGGGGAAGAAAUAUCUAGCACAGCUGCUUCCGAAUUCCCUGGCUGGUCUGAGAACUGUGUGAAGCUGUGAUGGAACCCCCUGGAGAUGUUCUGCAGCUCCAGGCCUCACUUCACAGACUCACUGCAGGAAUGGAUGAACUAAUAAAUGAUUAAGAAGUAAGUACACCAGCAAGUUUCUUGUGCCUGGACUAAAGAUGGAGUAUAGGAUGAGUAGUAGAAGAUGUAACAACUGGGACUGGAUUACAGAUGGUCUUUGUAUUAGUCUAUUCUCACACUGCUAUAAAGAAAUACCUGAGACUGGGUCAUUUAUAAAGAAAAGAGA